This is a long non-coding RNA of Passer domesticus (house sparrow), 702 nucleotides long. RefSeq lists it as uncharacterized. The transcript is spliced from 3 exons. The record is from RefSeq and is a predicted model, not a curated record. Lineage: Eukaryota; Metazoa; Chordata; Aves; Passeriformes; Passeridae.
UCACUGCCAUUAUGGAACAUUAAACCAUGGCUCAUAUGGAGGUCUCCAUAGGGGCUUCAUUAAACACCAGAGGUUUCCUAUAGAUUUAACCAUCAGGGAGCUGCUCAUCUCUUGCUGGUUGUCAGCCCUCCUGUGUUAGAGACUCUCUUGCAGCCAAGGCCAGAAGAGCAGGCGGUGCCUUCUCAAGGUUUUGGAAAGCCUAAUGACCACCAUGGAAAUAUUUAUAGCUUCCUCUUCCAGGAAACUGUUGUGGGAUUUGCACUGGCUUUUCGACCAAAUCAGUGGUCUGGUGGCUCUUCAGGGCUUCUCUGCCAUGGCUCCAGCCACUGCUUACCUCAAAUGAGCUGAAAGGGUCCAUGUGUCAAGGUGGGAGUGCUCAGUGAUGCACACUCAUCCCUGUCUGCUGCCUGGCCUGAGCAGCAUCUGGCUGAAAGUGCCCCAGCUCCCUCCUGGAAAGCAGAAAGGGAGAUGAACCAGGAGGAAAAGAAGCAAAAAUUUGAACAGGACAAGGAUGGGCAGCGCUUAUAAGUUUUGUGUUUGAAGCACAGCUUGAGUCUCCUUCUGGAAUCAUCACUUAGUUUCACUGAUUAUACAGAGCAAUGCAGCCUCUGACAUUAGGAGACUAAAUUAGGUAAGGUGAUUACUCCUUUAAACUCAAAUCAGGUGCUAAUCCUUCAGGCAUCCUGAUCUUUCUGGCUUCUC